RNAcentral lists this ribosomal RNA (1052 nucleotides) under uncultured archaeon 2C46. RNAcentral's name for it is "bacterial SSU rRNA". It matches the Rfam family "Archaeal small subunit ribosomal RNA", at positions 1 to 1053 of the family's 1478-position model. The record is from RNAcentral. RNAcentral also lists the same sequence under 1 other name.
UUCCGUUUGAUCCUGGCAGAGGUCACUGCUCUCAGUGUUCGACUUAGCCAUGCAAGUCAAAUGUUCUUCGUGAACAUGGCGAACUGCUCACUAACACGUGGAUAACCUGCCCUUAGGACUGGCACAACCCUGGGAGACUGGGGAUAAUUCCAGAUAGCCCAUGAAUGCUGGAAUGCAUCGUGGGUAAAAUGGUUCCGACCGCCUAAGGAUGGAUCUGCGGCCUAUCAGGUAGUAGUGGGUGUAUCGUACCUACUAGCCGACGACGGGUACGGGUUGUGAGAGCAAGAGCCCGGAGAUGGAUUCUGAGACAUGAAUCCAGGCCCUACGGGGCGCAGCAGGCGCGAAAACUUUACAAUGCGGGAAACCGCGAUAAGGGGACACUGAGUGCCAGCAUACUAUGUUGGCUGUCCACAUGUGUAAAAAGCAUGUGUUAGCUAGGGCUGGGCAGGACCGGUGCCAGCCGCCGCGGUAACACCGGCAGCCCGAGUGGUGAUCACUAUUAUUGGGCUUAAAGGGUCCGUAGCCGGUUUGAUCAGUCUUUUGGGAAAUCUGACAGCUCAACUGUUAGGCUUCCGGGGAAUACUGUCAGACUUGGGACCGGGAGAGGUAAGAGGUACUACAGGGGUAGGAGUGAAAUCUUGUAAUCCCUGUGGGACCACCAGUGGCGAAGGCGACUUACCAGAACGGGUCCGACGGUGAGGGACGAAAGCUGGGGGCACGAACCGGAUUAGAUACCCGGGUAGUCCCAGCCGUAAACGAUGUUCGCUAGGUGUCAGGGACGGUGCGACCGUUUCUGGUGCCGUAGGGAAGCCGUGAAGCGAACCACCUGGGAAGUACGGCCGCAAGGCUGACACUUAAAAGAAUUGGUGGGGGAGCACUACAACGGGUGGACCCUGCGGUUUAAUUGGACUCAACGCGGGAAAACUCACCGGGGGCGACAGCAAGAUGUAGGUCAAGCUAAAGACUUUACCUGAAUCGCUGAGAGGAGGUGCAUGGCCGUCGUCAGUUCGUACUGUGAAGCAUCCUGUUAAGUCAGGCAACGAGCGAGACCC